GCUCGAGUGGCGAACGGGUGAGUAACACGUGAGUAACCUGCCCUUGACUUUGGGAUAACUUCAGGAAACUGGGGCUAAUACCGGAUAGGAGCUCCUGCUGCAUGGUGGGGAUUGGAAAGUUUCGGCGGUUGGGGAUGGACUCGCGGCUUAUCAGCUUGUUGGUGGGGUAGUGGCUUACCAAGGCUUUGACGGGUAGCCGGCCUGAGAGGGUGACCGGCCACAUUGGGACUGAGAUACGGCCCAG
RNAcentral lists this ribosomal RNA (244 nucleotides) under uncultured Actinomycetales bacterium. Its description in RNAcentral is "partial 16S ribosomal RNA". It matches the Rfam family "Bacterial small subunit ribosomal RNA", at positions 89 to 334 of the family's 1533-position model. Lineage: Bacteria; Bacillati; Actinomycetota; Actinomycetes; Actinomycetales. The record is from RNAcentral.